RNAcentral lists this ribosomal RNA (392 nucleotides) under uncultured bacterium. Its description in RNAcentral is "bacterial SSU rRNA". It matches the Rfam family "Bacterial small subunit ribosomal RNA", at positions 355 to 762 of the family's 1533-position model. The record is from RNAcentral.
UGGGGAAUCUUGGACAAUGGGGGCAACCCUGAUCCAGCCAUGCCGCGUGAGUGAUGAAGGCCUUAGGGUCGUAAAGCUCUUUCGCCUGUGAAGAUAAUGACGGUAGCAGGUAAAGAAACCCCGGCUAACUCCGUGCCAGCAGCCGCGGUAAUACGGAGGGGGACUAGCGUUGUUCGGAAUUACUGGGCGUAAAGCGUCAGUAGGCGGACCAGAAAGUUGGGGGUGAAAUCCCGGGGGCUCAACCCCGGAACUGCCUCCAAAACUAUCGGUCUAGAGUUCGAGAGAGGUGAGUGGAAUUCCGAGUGUAGAGGUGAAAUUCGUAGAUAUUCGGAGGAACACCAGUGGCGAAGGCGGCUCACUGGCUCGAUACUGACGCUGAGGUGCGAAAGUGU